Molecule: non-coding RNA, 491 nt
Organism: Megalopta genalis
Lineage: Eukaryota; Metazoa; Arthropoda; Insecta; Hymenoptera; Halictidae
Source: RefSeq, a predicted model, not a curated record
CAACAUGAAGCUUUUAAUUCUCUUUGGAGCUCUUUGCUUGGCUGCGGUUGCAGUGAGGUCUGCCUCCGUCGAGGAUAUCGAAGGUCUAGAAGAAUACGAUCUUGUCGAUAAAGUCGAAGAUCUCGAUGAUGCACCGGUCGCGCAGCCAUUUUUGAGUUGUCAAUUGUGUGGAAACCCAUGUUGCAUUGCUCGCUGCAGAGCAAUGGGCAAGUCAUCGGGUACAUGCACCAGACACAAAAUAUGCGUUUGUCGGUACGUAAUUUUUUGAAAAUUUUUGUGCAGCUACAUAAUAAAAUUAUUCGCAUAUUAACGAGUUCCGAUCUACCAUUUGCUUUCAGUAAAUAGCUGAACGAUUAGUGGAUCCGAAUUCCUGUGUGAACAACGUAACACUUAUCCAGAAUUACUUAAAUAUUUUCAAUAUGUAUGUACGUUCGUCUUCGACGACAGAUUUCAGAAUUAAUAACAUUCUUUGCUUUUAACUACUUGUAAAA